RNAcentral lists this ribosomal RNA (520 nucleotides) under uncultured Diversispora. RNAcentral describes it as "SSU rRNA". It matches the Rfam family "Eukaryotic small subunit ribosomal RNA", at positions 569 to 1085 of the family's 1831-position model. Lineage: Eukaryota; Fungi; Glomeromycota; Glomeromycetes; Diversisporales; Diversisporaceae. The record is from RNAcentral.
AGCAGCCGCGGUAAUCCCAGCUCCAAUAGCGUAUAUUAAAGUUGUUGCAGUUAAAAAGCUCGUAGUUGAACUUCGGGGUUUACCCAUUGGUCAGGCUUAAUUGUCUGCACUGGUGAGAUGAAUCUCUACCUUCUGAGGAACUUUCAUGCCAUUUAUUUGGUGUGAUGGGAAAUCAGGACCGUUACUUUGAAAAAAUUAGAGUGUUUAAAGCAGGCUAACGUCUGAAUACAUUAGCAUGGAAUAAUGAAAUAGGACGGACUGAUUCUAUUUCGUUGGUUCCUAGGAUCACCGUAAUGAUUAAUAGGGAUAGUUGGGGGCAUUAGUAUUCAAUUGUCAGAGGUGAAAUUCUUGGAUUUAUUGAAGACUAACUACUGCGAAAGUAUUUGCCAAGGAUGUUCUCAUUAAUCAAGAACGAAAGUUAGGGGAUCGAAGACGAGUCAGAUACCGUCGUAGUCUUAACCGAUAAACUAUGCCGACUAGGGAUCGGACGAAGUUAAUUUUUAAUGUACUCGUUACGGCG